Molecule: long non-coding RNA, 556 nt
Organism: Ostrinia nubilalis (European corn borer)
Lineage: Eukaryota; Metazoa; Arthropoda; Insecta; Lepidoptera; Crambidae
Exons: 3
Source: RefSeq, a predicted model, not a curated record
AUUCAAAUAAGUUUAGAGGAAACCUAUAUAAGCAAUAAAACCAGACCAAGAAUGCUUGAUUACAAACGAUGAACUCAUUUCAUUUGCAAGUUAUGCCAUGACAUAAAUGCAUUAAAUUAGGAAGAUUUGUAUUAGAUGAAUUACCCAGAUAACAAUUAAAACAACUUCUGUUGAUAAGAACAUUUGAUUGGUGGAAUCCAGAUUCUGUGAAUGUACAUGUAAUUUAUUGACAAGUACACAUUUGACAAGGUGGUGAGAAACGUGUAGAUCUGGCCUGCUUACAGUGGCUAUUGGAUUGGACAGAACCAAAGUGAGAGUGAACGUGUGAAUUUAUGGAGAACAUUAAAAACUAUUUUACUAUAAGUCAUAACGCAACUUAAUUUGUAUGAGUUACAUACAAAUGUCAAGCCGUGAGUACAUUAUGUAAAAACUAAAACAAUGUACUGUAAUCACAACAGUAACUGUAAUCUUUUAAAAUCCAAUAGUUUUAAUGCUUAUUGAUUUUCGUAAACAAAAUAUUUCAUGUUAUAUUUCAUCAAUAAAGUUUCAUUUGAUA